UACUUUGAUGCCGUGUCACUUUCAAACAAUACCUAACGGAAUGAUUCAUUGCAGCGCUUGUGUUUGAUGUGAUCUAAACAAAAUGUGUAUUCUCAUGUGUACUUCACCUGGAACGCUAAUGAAAAGCACAUGUUCCUCUGAAGGGUACUGAAAAUAAUACGCUUGCAGGACAGCUGGUUCCCCCCAAAAAUGGUCCAAAACUGCUGCUUUUUAGGAGGUAGAUGUCACCCAGGGGUUUGUUGGGAAGGUUAAAGCUGUUGACCUGGGCCGAGCGUACAAACGGAAGUUCCUCUUUCGCCAUUGCGGCGAUAACAUACUUGCGCGCAACCUGUCUGACCUCAGCCAUUGUUUGUACUCUGCUAUUUUGGCCAGGAAGUGAUGACCGCGGGGGGACUGAGGGGGGGGGGGCACGUUAGCAUGCGCCACAGUGCACCGAGUUCAUUCAUCAUAAACAUCUGCAGAGCGUCUUGUGUAAGAGGUCAACAAUGCGUGAUGGCAGUUCCAGUCCCGUCCAAGAAUUUUCCGGGAUACGUUAGUGUCGCUUUUAUCUAAUGAUCUACGUUCCCUCAUGCACGUAUGAGGUGUGUCAGAAAGGUCCCAGGACUUAUGUUACGAAGCUAUACGAAGAAACCUUGCGUCGAUUGCUCCGUUCUCUGCGUGAGAAGAGGCGAAAAUCGUAGCUGGACAACUUGUGGCUUGUUCACCAUGACAUUGCACCUGCUCUUAAUGUGCUGAACAUCUGACAGUUCCUGACUAAAAACAAGCAGCCUACCUACUCAUACAACCUGACCCCAUGUAAUUCUUCUUAUUCUGCUCUUCUCCCAAGCUCACAUGAAGCCCUUUUAAAGAUGUGGAUGACAGCAAGAUGAAGCGAUGGAGGAUCUUGGAAGAAUCCUUCAAGGAGCGCAUGAAGGCAAGGAGAAGGCUGGGAAAGUGCGUUAGACUCCACGAAGAUUAUUUCAAAGGGUAAAAGUUGUAGUUUGGAUUUGCAAUAUAUCUUUCGGGGACUCCAGUCCUUGAAUUUUUCUGACACGCCUUUUAAGACAUGGUGACAAUUGUCUCCUCCUGAACGUAGACUCUUGAAAAAGGACAUCCUUGUCCCUGGACUGGUCGUCUGAAAGGUUCCGCUUUAGUACGCUUGACACUUGACACCUGUACGUUGGAGCAUAAAUUGACUCCAACUAUACCUUCAAAUGUACAGAAAAGGAUGCCCUUAUCUCCAUGGCAGCUUCAAAUGUUCUGGUUUUGUACCUUUGACAUGUGACGCCCUUUUUUAACUCUUGAAAAAGGAACACACAGUAGUCCUGGAAUCAGCCCUGUGGGGCAAAGCAAGUCUAGUGACUUUCAGAACAGAAAUCGCAUAAGUAGUUCCUGGCAGUGCGGCAACGUUGAGUCUGCCUCUACAUGUACAUAUUUAUUCCUUGGUGAGCAUGCAAGAAUGUGCUUCCAAUAACGACUUACUCCAGUAGUAAAUAUCAUGAGCGAAUCAAAACCACAAGAUCCUUUUCAGUUUUAGUCUGGAUAACUUGAUCUACAAGUAUUUGUAUUGAGAUGGAUUUUGAUUGGAAAUGCGGGCAGACAGAACAAGGGUUGAGGGUGGGACAGGACAAGACAAGAUAGAAGACAGGACAGGAGUCCUGGGCCAUGCAGUGCCCGUAACUCAUCCAGUAGGACAGCGGAACCCAAGUCUGGUCCUCGAGAGUCCCUGUCCAGCCUGUUUUGAAUGUCUCCCUCCUACAACACACCUGAUUGAAAUGACCAGGAUGGCAACAUCUAAAACAGGCAAGACAGGUGCUCUCUAGGAUUGGAGUUUAGGCAGCCCUGCAGUAGAGGAAGCCUUUUCAGAGGACAUUACCCACACUUAGGGAUUUGGGGUUGCCACCACCACCGCCGACCACUCACCCAUCCCCCAGGUGGGCGAGAGACAGCUAACCGCCGGUUAGUAACCGGCAUCAGCGCCCACUGCAGAAUGAGGACCCACAGCUUUUCGAGGGUCGCGGUGGGUGCUGGAGCCUAUCCAAGCUGUCUUCAGGCAAUCGGCGGGGGACACCCUGAACUGGUUGCCAACCAAUCACACGGCACACAUAGACAAACAACUAUUCACGCUCACAAUCACACCUACUGUCAAUUUUGAGUGUUCAAUCCGCCUGCCAUGCAUGUUCUUGGAAUGCGGGAGGAAGCCAGAGUACCCGGAGAAAACCCACACGGGCACGAGAACAUGCAAACUCCACACAAGAGGGCCGGAGCCGAAAUCGAACCUUGCACAGUGAGGUCGACGUGCUAAUCAGUCACCCACCGUGCCGCUGCCGAAAACCUGAUUUGCGAAUGAAAAAAAAAACAAGGGCAGAUUCUGAAUCCGCUCCAUGAAAUUAGACAUUUGCUCGCAUUUCCUAUUAAAAUAAGUUACAUUUUGUUGACUACCUUAGUGUUAUAGUUUUAGAACUUUUUUUGGGAGCAUUUUCAUUUUAUUACAUUUACAUUAGUUUUUUCAAUUUGUGUGUUUUUUUCUAUAUUAACCUUGGUAAUUACGGUAAACCGCUUCAAGCUCUUGUCGAAGAAUUUACUCAUUUUGUCGAGUCAACUAGUCCGCUCAACCCAUACUCUGUUUUGGCCUUUUUGUGGAUUAUUUCUCAUGGUCUGAUUCAUUAUUGUGCAAAGUGGAUGUUGACAGAAAUAAUGCCCGUAUUCAGUCAGAAGAGUUUGAUAAAAAAUGUACAUGUAUUUCUCUUUAUAUUUUGCAAUGACAGGAACAUUUAUUCAACUUUCAACAAAAAAAUGUCCACAAGGACAAGUGCAAAACUGGCUGAAAUCCACAAGCAAAAGGCGACAACAACAACAACUGAAAACAAAUAAAAGUUAACAUUGAAAAAGCUAGACGUGUUACCAAAUUGACACACUGGCGGUCGAGAAAAAGACUUCGGUCAAUUGGUGGAAACGCCAACAACAUUGUGACGCCUUGCUCCCGAGCGCUGUGUAUUGUACGACUCUUCAUCUAUUUCAGCCUCCGUGA
This is a long non-coding RNA of Hippocampus zosterae (dwarf seahorse), 3010 nucleotides long. RefSeq lists it as uncharacterized. Lineage: Eukaryota; Metazoa; Chordata; Actinopteri; Syngnathiformes; Syngnathidae. The transcript has 2 exons. The record is from RefSeq and is a predicted model, not a curated record.